GACGAACGCUGGCGGCGUGCCUAAUACAUGCAAGUCGAACGCUUCUUUCCUCCCGAGUGCUUGCACUCAAUUGGAAAGAGGAGUGGCGGACGGGUGAGUAACACGUGGGUAACCUACCCGUCAGAGGGGGAUAACACUUGGAAACAGGUGCUAAUACCGCAUAACAGUUUAUGCCGCAUGGCAUAAGAGUGAAAGGCGCUUUCGGGUGUCGCUGAUGGAUGGACCCGCGGUGCCUUAGCUAGUUGGUGAGGUAACGGCUCACCAAGGCCACGAUGCAUAGCCGACCUGAGAGGGUGAUCGGCCACACUGGGACUGAGACACGGCCCAGACUCCUACGGGAGGCAGCAGUAGGGAAUCUUCGGCAAUGGACGAAAGUCUGACCGAGCAACGCCGCGUGAGUGAAGAAGGUUUUCGGAUCGUAAAACUCUGUUGUUAGAGAAGAACAAGGACGUUAGUAACUGAACGUCCCCUGGCGGUAUCUAACCAGAAAGCCACGGCUAACUACGUG
This 508-nucleotide ribosomal RNA is filed under the name uncultured bacterium. Its description in RNAcentral is "partial 16S ribosomal RNA". It matches the Rfam family "Bacterial small subunit ribosomal RNA", at positions 28 to 507 of the family's 1533-position model. The record is from RNAcentral.